UGGGGAAUUUUGGACAAUGGGGGAAACCCUGAUCCAGCCAUCCCGCGUGUGCGAUGAAGGCCUUCGGGUUGUAAAGCACUUUUGGCAGGAAAGAAACGUCAUGGGUUAAUACCCCGUGAAACUGACGGAACCUGCAGAAUAAGCACCGGCUAACUACGUGCCAGCAGCCGCGGUAAUACGUAGGGUGCAAGCGUUAAUCGGAAUUACUGGGCGUAAAGCGUGCGCAGGCGGUUCGGAAAGAAAGAUGUGAAAUCCCAGAGCUCAACUUUGGAACUGCAUUUUUAACUACCGGGCUAAAGUGUGUCAGAGGGAGGUGGAAUUCCGCGUGUAGCAGUGAAAUGCGUAGAUAUGCGGAGGAACACCGAUGGCGAAGGCAGCCUCCUGGGAUAACACUGACGCUCAUGCACGAAAGCGUGGGGAGCAAACAGG
This 429-nucleotide ribosomal RNA is filed under the name Acidobacteriota bacterium. RNAcentral describes it as "Acidobacteria bacterium partial 16S ribosomal RNA". It matches the Rfam family "Bacterial small subunit ribosomal RNA", at positions 355 to 776 of the family's 1533-position model. The record is from RNAcentral. Lineage: Bacteria; Pseudomonadati; Acidobacteriota.